Molecule: ribosomal RNA, 468 nt
Filed under: uncultured bacterium
Lineage: Bacteria
Description: partial 16S ribosomal RNA
Rfam family: Bacterial small subunit ribosomal RNA
Source: RNAcentral
GAUGAACGCUGGCGGCGUGCCUAACACAUGCAAGUCGAGCGAUUCUCUUCGGAGAAGAGCGGCGGACGGGUGAGUAACGCGUGGGUAACCUGCCCUGUACACACGGAUAACAUACCGAAAGGUAUGCUAAUACGAGAUAAUAUGCUUUUAUCGCAUGGUAGAAGUAUCAAAGCUCCGGCGGUACAGGAUGGACCCGCGUCUGAUUAGCUAGUUGGUAAGGUAACGGCUUACCAAGGCGACGAUCAGUAGCCGACCUGAGAGGGUGAUCGGCCACAUGGGAACUGAGACACGGUCCACACUCCUACGGGAGGCAGCAGUGGGGAAUAUUGCACAAUGGGCGAAAGCCUGAUGCAGCAACGCCGCGUGAGCGAUGAAGGCCUUCGGGUCGUAAAGCUCUGUCCUCAAGGAAGAUAAUGACGGUACUUGAGGAGGAAGCCCCGGCUAACUACGUGCCAGCCGCCGCCGUAA